GGGCGCGUAGCUCAGCUGGUUAGAGCGCACGGUUCACAUCCGUGAGGUUCGGAGGUUCGAGCCCUCUCGCGCCCA
This 75-nucleotide transfer RNA is filed under the name Chloroflexi bacterium GWB2_49_20. RNAcentral describes it as "tRNA-Val". It matches the Rfam family "tRNA". From Rfam's summary of the family: Transfer RNA (tRNA) molecules are approximately 80 nucleotides in length. Their secondary structure includes four short double-helical elements and three loops (D, anti-codon, and T loops). Lineage: Bacteria; Bacillati; Chloroflexota. RNAcentral also lists the same sequence under 8 other names. The record is from RNAcentral.